This 1359-nucleotide ribosomal RNA is filed under the name Streptococcus pneumoniae. Its description in RNAcentral is "bacterial SSU rRNA". The stretch from base 1 to 981 matches the Rfam family "Bacterial small subunit ribosomal RNA". Lineage: Bacteria; Bacillati; Bacillota; Bacilli; Lactobacillales; Streptococcaceae. The record is from RNAcentral.
AGAGUUUGAUCCUGGCUCAGGACGAACGCUGGCGGCGUGCCUAAUACAUGCAAGUAGAACGCUGAAGGAGGAGCUUGCUUCUCUGGAUGAGUUGCGAACGGGUGAGUAACGCGUAGGUAACCUGCCUGGUAGCGGGGGAUAACUAUUGGAAACGAUAGCUAAUACCGCAUAAGAGUAGAUGUUGCAUGACAUUUGCUUAAAAGGUGCACUUGCAUCACUACCAGAUGGACCUGCGUUGUAUUAGCUAGUUGGUGGGGUAAGGGCUCACCAAGGCGACGAUACAUAGCCGACCUGAGAGGGUGAUCGGCCACACUGGGACUGAGACACGGCCCAGACUCCUACGGGAGGCAGCAGUAGGGAAUCUUCGGCAAUGGACGGAAGUCUGACCGAGCAACGCCGCGUGAGUGAAGAAGGUUUUCGGAUCGUAAAGCUCUGUUGUAAGAGAAGAACGAGUGUGAGAGUGGAAAGUUCACACUGUGACGGUAUCUUACCAGAAAGGGACGGCUAACUACGUGCCAGCAGCCGCGGUAAUACGUAGGUCCCGAGCGUUGUCCGGAUUUAUUGGGCGUAAAGCGAGCGCAGGCGGUUAGAUAAGUCUGAAGUUAAAGGCUGUGGCUUAACCAUAGUAGGCUUUGGAAACUGUUUAACUUGAGUGCAAGAGGGGAGAGUGGAAUUCCAUGUGUAGCGGUGAAAUGCGUAGAUAUAUGGAGGAACACCGGUGGCGAAAGCGGCUCUCUGGCUUGUAACUGACGCUGAGGCUCGAAAGCGUGGGGAGCAAACAGGAUUAGAUACCCUGGUAGUCCACGCUGUAAACGAUGAGUGCUAGGUGUUAGACCCUUUCCGGGGUUUAGUGCCGUAGCUAACGCAUUAAGCACUCCGCCUGGGGAGUACGACCGCAAGGUUGAAACUCAAAGGAANAUCAGCAUAAGGAAAGCCAAUGGGGUGCUGGCAAUGGUGAUGAGAGCCAGCGUCACAUUUCUCGAAAACAUGACAAGAAUCAGACCAAUGUAUAAAACAAUAUUGCUCAUGACCUGAAUCAAGCUUUCGUUAAAGGCUUGGAGGAUAUUAUCCAAAUCACUGGUAAAAUGAGACAGGAUAUCGCCAUCUUGUCGACGGUCAAAGAAAGAAACCGUCAACUGAGCAAGCUUACCAAAGAGGCCUUUGCGCAUCUCGUUGGUCGAUUCUGCAAUCACGCGCGUCAUGAGACACAUGUAUAUUACACUAGAGAUAAAUAGAACCAAAACCAGCAGGCCAAGAUUGACCAUGAUUCCUGAUAGGCUUUGCCAUACAAGUUCUGGAUUGCCAUUUUGAUAAGCUUGAACUAAAUUGGCUAGCUGCGUCACCGCUUGUCCAGAAAAG